This 253-nucleotide ribosomal RNA is filed under the name uncultured bacterium. RNAcentral describes it as "partial 16S ribosomal RNA". It matches the Rfam family "Bacterial small subunit ribosomal RNA", at positions 524 to 776 of the family's 1533-position model. The record is from RNAcentral.
UACGAAGGGGGCUAGCGUUGCUCGGAAUGACUGGGCGUAAAGGGCGCGUAGGCGGAUGGCUUUGUCGGGCGUGAAAUUCCAGGGCUUAACCUUGGGGCUGCGUUCGAGACGGGUUGUCUUGAGUGGGGAAGAGGGUCGUGGAAUUCCCAGUGUAGAGGUGAAAUUCGUAGAUAUUGGGAAGAACACCGGUGGCGAAGGCGGCGACCUGGUCCUUUACUGACGCUGAGGAGCGAAAGCGUGGGGAGCGAACAGG